UCCAAAGCUGACUGGUUACCAAGGAGACAA
This 30-nucleotide non-coding RNA is filed under the name Mus musculus (house mouse). Lineage: Eukaryota; Metazoa; Chordata; Mammalia; Rodentia; Muridae. The record is from RNAcentral.